This 838-nucleotide ribosomal RNA is filed under the name Pseudomonas sp. PNKS1. RNAcentral describes it as "bacterial SSU rRNA". It matches the Rfam family "Bacterial small subunit ribosomal RNA", at positions 106 to 941 of the family's 1533-position model. The record is from RNAcentral. Lineage: Bacteria; Pseudomonadati; Pseudomonadota; Gammaproteobacteria; Pseudomonadales; Pseudomonadaceae.
GUGACUAAUGCCUAGGAAUCUGCCUGGUAGUGGGGGACAACGUUUCGAAAGGAACGCUAAUACCGCAUACGUCCUACGGGAGAAAGUGGGGGAUCUUCGGACCUCACGCUAUCAGAUGAGCCUAGGUCGGAUUAGCUAGUUGGUGAGGUAAAGGCUCACCAAGGCGACGAUCCGUAACUGGUCUGAGAGGAUGAUCAGUCACACUGGAACUGAGACACGGUCCAGACUCCUACGGGAGGCAGCAGUGGGGAAUAUUGGACAAUGGGCGAAAGCCUGAUCCAGCCAUGCCGCGUGUGUGAAGAAGGUCUUCGGAUUGUAAAGCACUUUAAGUUGGGAGGAAGGGCAGUAAGUUAAUACCUUGCUGUUUUGACGUUACCAACAGAAUAAGCACCGGCUAACUUCGUGCCAGCAGCCGCGGUAAUACGAAGGGUGCAAGCGUUAAUCGGAAUUACUGGGCGUAAAGCGCGCGUAGGUGGUUCGUUAAGUUGGAUGUGAAAGCCCCGGGCUCAACCUGGGAACUGCAUCCAAAACUGGCGAGCUAGAGUAUGGCAGAGGGUGGUGGAAUUUCCUGUGUAGCGGUGAAAUGCGUAGAUAUAGGAAGGAACACCAGUGGCGAAGGCGACCACCUGGGCUAAUACUGACACUGAGGUGCGAAAGCGUGGGGAGCAAACAGGAUUAGAUACCCUGGUAGUCCACGCCGUAAACGAUGUCGACUAGCCGUUGGGAUCCUUGAGAUCUUAGUGGCGCAGCUAACGCAUUAGUCGACCGCCUGGGGAGUACGGCCGCAAGGUUUAAAACUCAAUGAAUUGACGGGGGCCCGCACAAGCGGUGGAGCAUG